GGCGCACGGGUGCGUAACGCGUAUGCAAUCUACCUUUUACAGAGGGAUAGCCCAGAGAAAUUUGGAUUAAUACCUCAUAGUAUUGCAGAAUGGCAUCAUUCAGCAAUUAAAGUCACAACGGUAAAAGAUGAGCAUGCGUCCCAUUAGCUAGUUGGUAAGGUAACGGCUUACCAAGGCUACGAUGGGUAGGGGUCCUGAGAGGGAGAUCCCCCACACUGGUACUGAGACACGGACCAGACUCCUACGGGAGGCAGCAGUGAGGAAUAUUGGACAAUGGGCGCAAGCCUGAUCCAGCCAUGCCGCGUGCAGGAUGACGGUCCUAUGGAUUGUAAACUGCUUUUAUACGAGAAGAAACAUCGCGACGUGUCGGAACUUGACGGUAUCGUAAGAAUAAGGAUCGGCUAACUCCGUGCCAGCAGCCGCGGUAAUACGGAGGAUCCAAGCGUUAUCCGGAAUCAUUGGGUUUAAAGGGUCCGUAGGCGGUUUAAUAAGUCAGUGGUGAAAGCCCAUCGCUCAACGGUGGAACGGCCAUUGAUACUGUUAGACUUGAAUUAUUAGGAAGUAACUAGAAUAUGUAGUGUAGCGGUGAAAUGCUUAGAGAUUACAUGGAAUACCAAUUGCGAAGGCAGGUUACUACUAAUGGAUUGACGCUGAUGGACGAAAGCGUGGGUAGCGAACAGGAUUAGAUACCCUGGUAGUCCACGCCGUAAACGAUGGAUACUAGCUGUUGGGUGCAAACUCAGUGGCUAAGCGAAAGUGAUAAGUAUCCCACCUGGGGAGUACGUUCGCAAGAAUGAAACUCAAAGGAAUUGACGGGGGCCCGCACAAGCGGUGGAGCAUGUGGUUUAAUUCGAUGAUACGCGAGGAACCUUACCAAGGCUUAAAUGUAGAUUGACCGGUUUGGAAACAGAUCUUUCGCAAGACAAUUUACAAGGUGCUGCAUGGUUGUCGUCAGCUCGUGCCGUGAGGUGUCAGGUUAAGUCCUAUAACGAGCGCAACCCCUGUUGUUAGUUGCCAGCGAGUCAUGUCGGGAACUCUAACAAGACUGCCAGUGCAAACUGUGAGGAAGGUGGGGAUGACGUCAAAUCAUCACGGCCCUUACGCCUUGGGCUACACACGUGCUACAAUGGCCGGUACAGAGAGCAGCCACUGGGCGACCAGGAGCGAAUCUAUAAAACCGGUCACAGUUCGGAUCGGAGUCUGCAACUCGACUCCGUGAAGCUGGAAUCGCUAGUAAUCGGAUAUCAGCCAUGAUCCGGUGAAUACGUUCCCGGGCCUUGUACACACCGCCCGUCAAGCCAUGGAAGCUGGGGGUGC
This 1317-nucleotide ribosomal RNA is filed under the name Flavobacterium sp. S0-101. RNAcentral's name for it is "bacterial SSU rRNA". It matches the Rfam family "Bacterial small subunit ribosomal RNA", at positions 97 to 1420 of the family's 1533-position model. Lineage: Bacteria; Pseudomonadati; Bacteroidota; Flavobacteriia; Flavobacteriales; Flavobacteriaceae. The record is from RNAcentral.